CAACCAGGUCUGGAGCCCAAACCUUCAACGCCUGGGCUUUCCUGCCUUCGACUCCUCCGAGCUCUCCUGGAGGCUGAGCAGGCAACAGAGCCUGCUUCUCAGCUGGGUGUGGCCCGUGGGAGGUGGAGAAACUGAGGCUCAGAUAAAUGACUAAGAAGUAAAGUGAGGUCCCAUAGCCAGUGAAUGGCAGAGCAGGGAUUUGAACCCAGGUCUCUCAUCUGGGAACUGGGAUGAUAGCGCCAACCUAGCUGGAUUGCUGUGACCACCAACACAAUGCCUUCUAAGGGUUCAAGAUGAGAUGACUUAGUCCCAGAUGGGUUAAGUAACUGGCCCAAGGUCACAGCGCUGGUAAGCAGCUGGGCUUCAAUCCAACCAUCCUGACUCCAGAAGCCUAUUUGAACUACCACCUUCUGCACCUGCCCCGGGGCUUCUUCGCCUGAGCUGGUGCCUCGCUGCUGCCCUGCUCAUCGUCUUCUGGGAAGAUGCCUCUCAUAUUGCCAGUCCCGCAGCCAGAAGCCUCAGGUGCUGCCCUGGGCUCCCUGAAUAGGCAUCCCUCCUGGCCUUCAAACUGCAUCCUUCCUGACUAACCUUCCAUUCCCCAAGGUGGCCCUCCACACUUUGGAGCCUCAGCUCACCUCUCACUCUCACGCUUCAGUUUCGCGCUUCCCUGCCGAACGGUCCCACCUCUGUGCUUUUGCUUAAGCUGUGCACACUUCCCGGAGUGCUCUUUUCCCUAUGUCUGCCUGGGCUCCAAUGCCUGAGCUGGGCUUGUAUGCCUGAGCUGAUCCAUGGCAUACAAGCACCUAUGGAGGCCCGGGGGAAGGAGGCAGUGGUAUGUGUGUCAGUGUGAGGAGGUCAGUGACGAGGUUUGGGGCUUCGGGGUCAGUUAUGUGGCUUCAGGGCAAGUCCCCAUCUCCCUGAACCCCAGUUUCUGCAAAAUGAAGAUAUCCAUCCCAGCUUCUCCCGAGGUUUAUAAUGGUAAUCUGUGAGGUUCUGGCACCCAAUGAAUCCGUAACUACCUUUUGUGAUAAGUUCCCCAUUUGUGAAGUCAAGUGAAGGCCCCCGGUGUCGGCAGUGCAGGAAAACCUGUCCCCUGAGCCCCUCAUCCCUAGGGAGAACCCUACCUUCAGUGCCUCUCUGAACAAGAGGGCCAGGAAGGGGUCACUGUACACCAGUUGGUCCCUAGUGACCAGUCCUGGCCAGAGGGCCUUUAUCCCACUUCCAGUAGCCGAGCACCAACCAUCCCCAGCUCCGGGAGGGGGUGGGUGGCACCCUGCUUCCUCCACAUUGUUGCCACCUCAGAGAGUCAGAAUCCAGGGAGACAGUCUCCUGGCAGCAGAGCUCCUGCUCCCCACCAUGGGUGUCUGUGACGCUGCCAGGCCCACUGGGGGCUGCAGGCACUCCAGCAUCAGAACUGACUAGGUCCUGGGAGUGGGAAGGGGACUCCAGCCAGGGACACUGGAGACAGGGCCAGUCUGAGUGCCUGCUCUCCCAGGGGCAGGUGCCAGCAUGGUGCACCCCUCAAGGAGCGUGGCAGGCGAGAUUGAGGUCCUGGCUGCCCCAGGCUCCUGUGCCAUCGAGAGGGAAAGCACCUGGCACAGGUAUACAGUAGGUGCUCAGUGCUGGGGAGAAUCUUCCCUUGGUGGAAUUCUGAACACUUUGGGUACCAGCAGAGUCAGAGUUCCCAGGGGAGGAGGCAGGCAUUUGACAACGGCUGUCGGGAGGAUAUAGCAUGUCCAACCUUCCCCUCUCCAUGAGAGGAAGUAGUGACCCCAACCCCAGGACCCUUCUCUGCCCAUUCACACCCACCCACUCCCACCUCUCUGCCAGCCUCAGUUGGAUAUGGAGCAGAAUGUAAUGAGGACUUACCUGUCCACAAGGACUUCAUAGCUGUUCCAAAGCCAUGGAUGGGCAGGUGCUAAUGCAGCCCCUCAGUCUCCCCCUUCCCUUGCUUUUGGAGUGGGCUUGGGACCCCCGGGGAGGUCUUAACUCACUGAAGACACCAGGACCCAGCUUCUGAGUAUUCCUAGAUGCCAUUUCUACCCCUAGAAACUUCACAUGGAGCCAAAAGCCCAUUUGAAGCUCAGUCUGGACCAGGAGAGGCUAAUCAUAAAAUGGAUAUUUUUUAAGUGUACAGAAAUAAGAAUUUAUUUUUGAAGACAUGAUUUAUAUUUUGAAUGGCUAAUGCACUCACAUGCUUCAAAAUUCAAAAUUCCAAAAGGACUGACAGUGCAAAGUCGCUCCUCCUUUGGUCCCCACCACCCAGUUUCCCUCUGCAGAGGGAACCUUGUUGCCAGUUCUUGUAUGUUCUUCCAGAAAUUUUCUAUGUAUAAACCGUCACCCUC
Rhinopithecus roxellana (golden snub-nosed monkey) is the source of this 2345-nucleotide long non-coding RNA. RefSeq lists it as uncharacterized. Lineage: Eukaryota; Metazoa; Chordata; Mammalia; Primates; Cercopithecidae. The transcript is spliced from 4 exons. The record is from RefSeq and is a predicted model, not a curated record.